CUAGGAUGUUGCUGGGUCCAGAUCAGGCAGUGUGGUCCCCUGGUCUUCUAGUACCAGUGCUGUUGGCAAUGACGCUAGGCUUAGCAGAGACAGUUCAGAGGUGAGUGCAGUGGAGGUAGGAAGAAACCAGAGAGACACUGCACAACCGGGAGGCAACAGAGGCACAGUUAUAGUGGUGUUGGAGGAGUAUGGGGUUUUGGACAGUCCAGAGAUGGAGCUGAGCCCAGAGGACCCAUCUACAGGUGGUUCAUCGCCCCUUGAUUCAUCAUCUCCCUGGCCUGGUUCAUCACCUCUCCGGCCCCUCUCCCCAACGCCCAGGCCCUUCUUACCAACACCCAACCCACAAUCCAGGCGCACCCGUGCUCUCUGCCAUGCAACUCCAUCAACCUCCAC
Molecule: long non-coding RNA, 393 nt
Filed under: Salmo salar (Atlantic salmon)
Lineage: Eukaryota; Metazoa; Chordata; Actinopteri; Salmoniformes; Salmonidae
Description: lncRNA (ENSSSAG00000078287.2)
Source: RNAcentral